AGGACGAACGCUGGCGGCGUGCUUAACACAUGCAAGUCGAGCGGAAAGGCCCUUCGGGGUACUCGAGCGGCGAACGGGUGAGUAACACGUGAGCAACCUGCCCCUGGCUCUGGGAUAGCCUCCGGAAACGGGGAUUAAUACCGGACAUGACCCUUGACCGCAUGGUUGGGGGUGGAAAGUUUUUCGGCCAGGGUGGGGCUCGCGGCCUAUCAGCUUGUUGGGGGGUGACGGCUCACCAAGGCGACGACGGGUAG
RNAcentral lists this ribosomal RNA (254 nucleotides) under uncultured bacterium. RNAcentral's name for it is "partial small subunit ribosomal RNA". It matches the Rfam family "Bacterial small subunit ribosomal RNA", at positions 26 to 286 of the family's 1533-position model. The record is from RNAcentral.